Molecule: ribosomal RNA, 253 nt
Filed under: uncultured bacterium
Lineage: Bacteria
Description: partial 16S ribosomal RNA
Rfam family: Bacterial small subunit ribosomal RNA
Source: RNAcentral
UACGUAGGGUGCUAGCGUUGUCCGGAUUUAUUGGGCGUAAAGAGCUCGUAGGCGGUUUGUCGCGUCGUCCGUGAAAACUCACAGCUUAACUGUGAGCUUGCGGUCGAUACGGGCAGGCUAGAGUUCGGUAGGGGAGACUGGAAUUCCUGGUGUAGCGGUGAAAUGCGCAGAUAUCAGGAGGAACACCGGUGGCGAAGGCGGGUCUCUGGGCCGAUACUGACGCUGAGGAGCGAAAGCGUGGGGAGCGAACAGG